RNAcentral lists this ribosomal RNA (564 nucleotides) under Triticum aestivum (bread wheat). Its description in RNAcentral is "partial small subunit ribosomal RNA". The record is from RNAcentral. Lineage: Eukaryota; Viridiplantae; Streptophyta; Magnoliopsida; Poales; Poaceae.
AUGGUGAGGGGCAAGAUUGUGAUUAGGAGGGUUGAGAACAUGAGCAGAAGGCAGGUCACCUUCUCCAAGCGGCGUGGUGGUCUACUGAAGAAAGCACGUGAGCUGGCCAUCCUCUGUAAUGUCCAGGUCGGUGUUAUCGUCUUCUCCUCCACUUGUCGCCUCUACGAGUAUGCCAACUCCACCACCGCCACCACCAUGGGCACGGCCAUGCCUUCCAUGAUUCAAAACUACCAAUCUUCACAAGAGCAACAUCAGCUCCUGAAUCCAGUGUCACAAGUCAUGUUUUGGCAAGGGGAAGUCCAGAAAUUACAGCAGGAAAUGCAGAUGCUUCAAGAACAUCAUAGGAAGCUAAUGGGGGAGAGAUUAUUAAACUUAGGAGUCAAAGACUUAUGUUUAAUGGAAAAUCAGCUGGAGAAGAGCUUACACCGUAUUAGAGAAAAGAAGGAACAAAGUUCCACCAACCAUAUUCUACAACUCAACGAGAAGGGAUGCAUCUUUCAUCAAGAGAAUAUUCGACUCUCCAGGGAAAUAAAGCUUAUCCAUGAACAAAACUUGGAAUUAUAG